RNAcentral lists this ribosomal RNA (250 nucleotides) under uncultured bacterium. RNAcentral's name for it is "partial 16S ribosomal RNA". It matches the Rfam family "Bacterial small subunit ribosomal RNA", at positions 524 to 773 of the family's 1533-position model. The record is from RNAcentral.
UACGGGGGUGGCAAGCGUUACUCGGAUUUAUUGGGUGUAAAGGACAGGUAGGCGGCUAUACAAGUUGAUGGUGAAAUCCUAAGGCUCAACCUUAGAACUGCCUUCAAAACUGUAUGGCUUGAGGCCGGAAGAGGAAAGCGGAAUUCCCGGUGUAAGGGUGAAAUCUGUAGAUAUCGGGAGGAACACCAGUGGCGAAAGCGGCUUUCUGGUCCGGAUCUGACGCUAAGCUGUGAAAGCUCGGGGAGCAAAC